This 74-nucleotide transfer RNA is filed under the name Methanobacteriota archaeon. Its description in RNAcentral is "Euryarchaeota archaeon tRNA-Ala". It matches the Rfam family "tRNA". Rfam says of the family: Transfer RNA (tRNA) molecules are approximately 80 nucleotides in length. Their secondary structure includes four short double-helical elements and three loops (D, anti-codon, and T loops). Further hydrogen bonds mediate the characteristic L-shaped molecular structure. tRNAs have two regions of fundamental functional importance: the anti-codon, which is responsible for specific mRNA codon recognition, and the 3' end, to which the tRNAs corresponding amino acid is attached (by aminoacyl-tRNA synthetases). tRNAs cope with the degeneracy of the genetic code in two manners: having more than one tRNA (with a specific anti-codon) for a particular amino acid; and 'wobble' base-pairing, i.e. permitting non-standard base-pairing at the 3rd anti-codon position. The record is from RNAcentral. Lineage: Archaea; Methanobacteriati; Methanobacteriota.
GGGCGCGUAGAUCAGCUUGGAAGAUCGCUACCUUGGCAUGGUAGAGGCCGCGAGUUCAAAUCUCGCCGCGUCCA